This 497-nucleotide ribosomal RNA is filed under the name uncultured bacterium. RNAcentral describes it as "partial 16S ribosomal RNA". It matches the Rfam family "Bacterial small subunit ribosomal RNA", at positions 28 to 507 of the family's 1533-position model. The record is from RNAcentral.
GAUGAACGCUGGCGGCGUGCCUAAUACAUGCAAGUCGAGCGAACGGACGAGAAGCUUGCUUCUCUGAUGUUAGCGGCGGACGGGUGAGUAACACGUGGAUAACCUACCUAUAAGACUGGGAUAACUUCGGGAAACCGGAGCUAAUACCGGAUAAUAUUUUGAACCGCAUGGUUCAAAAGUGAAAGACGGUCUUGCUGUCACUUAUAGAUGGAUCCGCGCUGCAUUAGCUAGUUGGUAAGGUAACGGCUUACCAAGGCAACGAUGCAUAGCCGACCUGAGAGGGUGAUCGGCCACACUGGAACUGAGACACGGUCCAGACUCCUACGGGAGGCAGCAGUAGGGAAUCUUCCGCAAUGGGCGAAAGCCUGACGGAGCAACGCCGCGUGAGUGGUGAAGGUCUUCGGAUCGUAAAACUCUCUUAUUAGGGAAGAACAUAUGUGUAAGUAACUGUGCACAUCUUGACGGUACCUAAUCAGAAAGCCACGGCUAACUACGUG